Molecule: ribosomal RNA, 497 nt
Filed under: uncultured bacterium
Lineage: Bacteria
Description: partial 16S ribosomal RNA
Rfam family: Bacterial small subunit ribosomal RNA
Source: RNAcentral
GACGAACGCUGGCGGCGUGCCUAAUACAUGCAAGUUGAGCGCUGAAGGUUGGUACUUGUACCGACUGGAUGAGCAGCGAACGGGUGAGUAACGCGUGGGGAAUCUGCCUUUGAGCGGGGGACAACAUUUGGAAACGAAUGCUAAUACCGCAUAAAAACUUUAAACACAAGUUUUAAGUUUGAAAGAUGCAAUUGCAUCACUCAAAGAUGAUCCCGCGUUGUAUUAGCUAGUUGGUGAGGUAAAGGCGCACCAAGGCGAUGAUACAUAGCCGACCUGAGAGGGUGAUCGGCCACAUUGGGACUGAGACACGGCCCAAACUCCUACGGGAGGCAGCAGUAGGGAAUCUUCGGCAAUGGACGAAAGUCUGACCGAGCAACGCCGCGUGAGUGAAGAAGGUUUUCGGAUCGUAAAACUCGGUUGGUAGAGAAGAACGUUGGUGAGAGUGGAAAGCUCAUCAAGUGACGGUAACUACCCAGAAAGGGACGGCUAACUACGUG